Molecule: RNA transcript, 1704 nt
Organism: Phragmites australis (common reed)
Lineage: Eukaryota; Viridiplantae; Streptophyta; Magnoliopsida; Poales; Poaceae
Gene name: bZIP transcription factor TRAB1-like
Exons: 4
Source: RefSeq, a predicted model, not a curated record
CCGCUCCACUGCGCCCCCGCGAGGCCGCGACCAGGAUCCUCUGCACCGCCUUUACCCGUUCCGUUGCAUAAUUCGCAAUCGCAGGUCACCGCACACCCCUCACCGGUAACAACCAAGCUAGCUCCUCGAGCCUUUCCAGGAGGCAUGUGACUCGCAGCAGUUUGAGGCUUUGAGCUUCUUUACUCCGAGCUCUCCUGGUGUCCGUGCCUUACUGCCUUUUGAUGCUGAGAGAUCGGUGAAGAGAAGGAAGGGGAUGGAGUUCAAGAACGGCGGGUCGUCGUCGCAGCGCCGGCCGGCGAUGGCGGAGGCGCCGAUGGCGAGGCAGGGGUCGGUCUACUCGCUGACGUUCGAUGAGUUCCAGAGCGCGCUCGGCGGGGCCGGCGCCGGCGGUGGUGGCGGCAUCGGGAAGGACUUCGGCUCCAUGAACAUGGACGAGCUGCUUCGGAGCAUCUGGACCGCGGAGGAGACCCAGGCCAUAGCAUCCGCCUCCGCCGCGGGCGCGGGUGCGGGGGCGCCGCCCACGCCGCUGCAGCGCCAGGGCUCAUCGCUCACGCUUCCCCGGACGCUCAGCGCCAAGACGGUCGACGAGGUGUGGCGCAACCUCGUGCGGGACGAGCCGCGGGAGGGGGCGCACGGCGGCGGGCAGCAGCCCCAGCGGCAGUCAACGCUCGGGGAGAUGACUCUGGAGGAGUUCUUGGUCAGAGCCGGCGUGGUCAGGGAGAACCCCGCCCCUGCGCCGCCGUCCCUGCUGCCGCCGCGGCCGGUCCCUGUUGUCCCUAAAAGCUCUGCCUUCUUCGGGAACUUCCCGGGUGCCGACGACGCCGCCGCCGCUGCAGCGCUGGGGUUUGCGCCUGUCGGAAUGGGGAAUCUGGCCAUGGGCAAUGGGCUGAUGCCCAGGGCUGCGGGCAUGGUGGGCAGCGCCAUGGCUGUGCAAACAGCGGUGAACCAGCUUGAGUCUUGCGGGACGGGCAACAGCGACAUGUCGUCGCCGACGGAGCCACAGCCGUAUUCGUUUGAGGGGACGAUUUGGGGAACUUGGAAUGGCGGCGGAGUGGAGAAAGUGGUGGAGAGGAGGCAGAGGAGGAUGAUCAAGAACAGGGAGUCCGCAGCCAGGUCCCGAGCGCGCAAACAGGCUUAUACAAUGGAGUUGGAAGCUGAAGUUCAGAAACUCAAGGAACUGAAUAAGGAACUAGAGAGGAAACAGGUGGUUUUUCUCUAAACACUGCAGUUGCAGAUGUUAAAUGUGCUACUUUGGUACAUUGCCUCUUGAGGAUCAUUUGUUCUCUUAGCCGUUUUGAAACUGGCUGAGAUGAAGGGAACACAGAAGGACGAGUUACCAGAAAUGUUGAAGGACCCAUUUGGCCGGAAGAAACGGCUGUGCCUGCGAAGAACAUUGACUGGCCCGUGGUGAUGAUCGAAUAGCAGGUGACUUGCCACAUUCCUGCAACGGCGCUUGUGUUCUGUACAUAAUUUCUCUGCUGUAAACCAGUGAUGAGCAGAGUCAGACAUCGUUGUGCUGCUAGUUUCCUUCUGCCGCUUGUGUAGUACUAGUAGCAUCAAGAACCAGCAUGUGUACGUGUAGUCCGUGUAGUAGAGAAGUGAAGCCGUAAGAAUAGCUUCAUCAUGUAGAGCUUGGAUGACUUGAGAGGUCGAUGGAUGUAAGUAGAUUAAUGUGCUCCAAGAAACCAAGAAACAUCUUGCACC